CCUACGGGUGGCUGCAGUAGGGAAUAUUGCUCAAUGGGGGAAACCCUGAAGCAGCAACGCCGCGUGGAGGAUGAAGGUUUUCGGAGUGGAAACCCCUUUUGGUAGAGAAGAAAAUGACGGUAUGUAACGAAUAAGCACCGGCUAACUCCGUGCCAGCAGCCGCGGUAAUACGGAGGGUGCAAGCGUUAAUCGGAAUAACUGGGCGUAAAGAGCGCGUAGGCGGGUUAGCAAGUCAGAUGUGAAAUCCUAUGGCUUAACCAUAGAACUGCAUUUGAAACUGUUAUUCUAGAGUAUGGGAGAGGUAGGUGGCAUUCUUGGUGUAGCGGUCAAAUCCUUAGAGAUCACGAG
Molecule: ribosomal RNA, 348 nt
Filed under: uncultured bacterium
Lineage: Bacteria
Description: partial 16S ribosomal RNA
Rfam family: Bacterial small subunit ribosomal RNA
Source: RNAcentral